CCGCUAAACCCGCCAAUGACAGAUGGAUUUACUCCACGCUGUGUUAAAAAUGCUGUCAUCAAACCGCCUGGAGCAAGAACGACAUUGAAGCAUAGGAGAACAUAGGCAAGGCUUGCAGGAAGAACUGGCUGGUGCAUAUAUUCCUUCCACCCAAGUUUGAUAGUUUCCAGACCUCUAUCCACUAUGCUGUUAUCAUCCACAGCUGCUCCAGUCGACUCUCUGCAAAACGUCUGAGAAAAUCUGGUG
Molecule: unclassified non-coding RNA, 246 nt
Filed under: Hevea brasiliensis (rubber tree)
Lineage: Eukaryota; Viridiplantae; Streptophyta; Magnoliopsida; Malpighiales; Euphorbiaceae
Source: RNAcentral